GACCAUGACAGCAAAGUCCUUCUGAAGAGUCAUUCAGUGAAGACUUGGGGGUUGGCAAAGUAGUCAGUUCUGUUUUUGCCCUCUCCUAAUAGUUCAAUGAGUUAAAGGAAAAGAAUGUUUUCACAGAAAAAAAAAAAAGUAUGUUUGUUUGCUUGAAGGAGAUCUGUCUAGCCUUACCUCAUAUCACUUCCCUUCUGGUGAAUCUGAUGGUGAAAUAAGUUUAUUCCUAAGAGAGCUCCCUAAUGCAAUUAAAGUGGGCGUGGCUUCUGCGGGUUUCAUGGCAGGAUGCAUCAGGAAUAUAGAAACUUGGAGACAAAUGUCCUGUGGUUAUUGUUAUGGUCUGAAUGUUUCUACACCCCCAAAUUCAUAUGCUGCCAUUCUAACCCAAGGUGAUGGUAUUAGACGGGGUGUCUUUCGGCAGUGAGGGCAUAAUGCACUUAGGAAGAGACUCAGAGAACUAGCUAGCCCUUUCCACCAUGUGAGAGUGCAACAAGGAACAGACUCUCACCAGACACCAAAUCUGCUGGCCCCUUGAUCUGGGACUUCUCAGUCUCCAGAACUCUGAGAAAUAAAUGCCAAUUGUUUAGAAACUACCAAUUUCAUGGUAUUUUGUUACAGCAACCUGAACAGACUAAGACAGUUACUGAAAAACCCCACUUUAAAUAUGUGAGCAUGGGAGCCCACAUUGCUGGACAGCCUCAUGGUAAAGCUAUCAAAUCCUGCUCUUGGCAUAUUUUGCAGUAGUGUUGUGCCCAGGGAGGGGGGCAGUCAGUCCUGGGGGACGGGCAAUAAGGAGGUGAACUGCUGGCCGAGAACAUAAACACAAUCAUUAUUAAAUUGAUUACAUGUAGUGUGCUUUUUAUUAUUACCAUGUGCCAGCAAUCCUAAACUAUGUCAAUGAUAGAACACCUUCCCAUAAGAAAUAAUUUUUUGUUCUAACUGGUCUAAUUGUUACAGUUAGUGUUACAGUUAGCGUUGAGAGUGUUUUUCCAUUUUUUUUUACUGUGAUAAAAUAUGAUUACCAUUUUAGCCAUGGUUAAGUGUACAGUUCAGUGGCAUGAAACACAUUAAUGUUUAGUUUUAAUAAAAUAUUUGUUAGCUUCAUUUUUUUUUUACAUUUCACAUACAUGAAAUAAGCCAAUCACAAAAAGAUAAAUACUACACAAUUCCACUUAAAUGAGGUUAUCUACAGUGAUCAAAUUCUUAGAAACAAAAAGUAGAAUGGUGGUUACUCCGGACUGGAGGAAGCAGGAAAUGAGAAAUUGUUCAGUGGAUACAGAUUGAGUAUCCUCUCUGAAGAUUUGUAUAUUUAAAAUUUUUUUCUUUAUCUGAUUGAGUUGAUUUGAAGAAUCAGUUUUUGAGCUCUGAGAUUCCACAGCUUGAUCUAUUCCUCUGUUAAUGCUUCCAACACUAUUAUGAAAAUUUUGUAGUGAAUUUUUAAAUUCCAGUUCAGUUUGGUUCUUUUUAAAAAUGGCUAUUUUGUCUUUCAAUUUUUGGGUCAUUUUUACUGGAUUCCUUGGAUUGGGUUUCUACUUCCUCUUGAAUCUUGAUGAGCUUCUUUGGUAUCCAGAUUCUGAAUUCUAUGUCUGUCAUUCCGGACAUUUCAGUCCUUGCUGAGGGGCUAGUAUGCUUAUUUGACGUUUUGAAUUGCCAGAGUUCUUGUGCUGACUCUUUUGAGAGGGCUGGUGUUCCUUUGUCGUCUUGUUUUUAUAUUAUUCAUUUACCUUGAGGGCUUAACUGUGGUAUAUGUUGAGUAUAGUCAAUUGGCUUCAUUUCUGGAUACUUUCAGAGGGCCAAGGCUCUGUAUGGGAUCUUUGUGGCUAGAUUCUUGCUCUGGGUUUUACAGGUGCUCUAUACUGGCAGAAUAUUUUGAAAUUGUAAUUUCGGCGGCAAACCAGUAGAUGGCGCUUAAGAGUAAUUGCCGGCAGGCUCUGACUCAGCGCUGGCUCUUUGGUAUUUUGUAUUCGCAGUCAUGCUCCAUAGUUCAGGGGAGAGAGAUGAUCCUUUUGCCAAGUCCUCUCCUGGCCCUUAGAGGAGCCCCCUCCAAUCACUGGAGCUGCACUUACGUUUCCUUUGUUAGGUGUUCGGAGCUGUGGGGGCUCUCUCCGGCAGAGGCUAAGGCUUGCAGACAGGCCGCAACCCUUCCCUGAAAGGCCCUGAGAGAGACAAGUCUCAUCCCGCGCUGGCCCACGAACUGCUUCUCACUCCUCCCAGUGUUCUGAGUGGAGGCUCCUCCCCCGCGCUUGCGCACCAGCCACAGGUCUCAGCUGGGCACUCCUGAGCUCUGUGCUGCAACCUUGGGGCAUUGGGCUCUGUCUUUCGGCCCCUCGGGGUCAGACCCCUGCUGUGUUGGGGGAUCCGAAGUGCUCCCAAGCUGCCUGGAAAGCAUUCAGGCGGGGUCGCUAGCAAGAACUCAGGCUGGGCAGCGGAGGCGGCACAGUGCACACACUCCUGCAGGAACAACCAGACAGGGGCUUUGGGAGGGGCUGCGUGCAGGGGGUCCCGCAGAACAUAUGCGCCCCAGUCCCGCAGGAAGGACCGCCCUGCUCUCUCUUGGCUCACUGGUGGGGACAGCACUUCCUGGAAUAACGUUGCUUUGGAUUUAACAACAGUUGGGCAAAGGAGGUCGGUAUACAGAUACAGGACAAGAAGAGUGGUGUCAAAGGGAGGCUAAAUCAUUGGUUCUGGCUUCAUCUAAGGAAUUCUUAUGAGAAAUCGAGGGAGAGACUGUCCUGGGAAGUCUGAUGAAACAUGAUCAAGAUAUUUUAACUUCUGUGUUUAGCGCCUUUAAUAGAUUGAGCUAAGAAGUCUAAGCAAUCUUCAGGGCUAAGAAACAAGCUGCACUUGCCAGAGUUGGAUGUUCACACCUUGGUGAUGGCUGAUAUUAAACAGAAUUCUUAAUGAACAAAUCGGCCUUGAAAAGGGAACAUGGUGAAGCAAGACAAAAGAAUUACAAACUUUGACUGAAACUUUCUCCUACCAGGAAUACAGGGACCGCUCACCAGGUUGUGAUGAGAAGGAUCAUCUGAAAUGCUCCAUUGCUCUCAGAAGUUGAGGUAACUUCAUUGGGCCCAAACUGAUAAACUAGGAAUGGCUCAGAAAAUAGCCCCUUAGAAGAACUGUAUGAAGCUUGGAUCCAUUUUUCUGUUUCACUGACCCUUCUUAACCGCUAGUGGCUCAGAGGUCUGGUGAGGUGGUGAGAGCUGUCCUAGAUGACAUGCACCUGGAGCCCAAAUGUGGGAGAAAAAAGAAAAAUCCCUCCAAUGAUUUGGUGAGGAGUUGAAGACAAAUAUCUUUAUUAUUUAUAAGUAUUCUGGCCAAGACAAUGAGUGUUGGAGUGGGAGGAUGAGGGAAUUUUAUGAUGAACGACAGCACAGCAAGAUGGACAGUAAGGCUCUGUCAUUGCCAUACCAGAUGUACAGAAGUGGCAUUUCAACUAAGGACACUGAAUAUGAAACAGACCUUGGAAAAGAGAGGAUGGAGUUAACUCUGAGAACAGAAAUCACCUACCUCUCUCCUCCCUAAACACACAGCUUACUGUCUAUAAUAAUAUACCCUUACUGGUCCAUUGUCCUCAUUAACAUAACUACAAUUCCAGGAGACUCUUGCCCAGGCAAAUUGCUUUAUUGUUCAUUACAGAGAGUUUUUGAAACAAAGAACCAUCAAUGCUUCAACAGAAAGCAUCAACAGUUUAUACCCCAAGAUCUUAGAACUCCUCACUUCCAAAUCCUCACUAUGCUAAUCCUAAACUAUUAUGUCAUGAUUUUUACCUAAACAAGACCCUGCAUGGAAAGAUCCUCUUUAUACAAUCUUUCAUUUUUUUGUCCUGGCUUUAAAAUGCAAAGCCCAUAUCCUUGGAAUUCCCUCUGUCUUGGGCAAAGUGUGACAGUUGGCCACCCUACUCCAAAAUCUCAUAAUUUUCCCACCUUGCCCCUCUAGAGACUAUCAAUCUCUGUUGAGGUGGUUCUCUCUUUCCAGGGUGAGCAAUAAACUCCUUGCCAGAGCUUUCCAUUGGGGGAGGAGGGUUUGAACUACUGCCAGAGACAAACAGAUGUAAACUAGAUGCAGGAGUUUGGAAAUUGAGCAGGGUUUGCAGUCUGGAAAAUUGCUCCACAAGAGACUGUCGUUGAACGAGUAGUCCUGAGUGAGUGGUCUAAGAGAACGUCAGAGUGAAAGAAAAUGCAGCCCACCUGGGUCAGCUGAAAAGGUAGAGAAUAAAAGGGAAAUGAAAUGCAGCUGCUAGUAACAGUUGAUUAAAUGAGGCUGGCAACUUACAUGGAGGCUGGAAGAGGAGAAAUGUGGGAGAGGCAGCAAGGAGAGAGAAGGAAACAUGAAGGAGGAGAAGAUUUCUAGAAGGAAAUGUAAGAGCUACAAAGGAGAAAGAUGAAUGAGAGACCCCACAAGAAAACAGCAGGGAAAAGAAGCUGCUUUCUGAGUUGAUGGUUGUUUCUAGUUUGGGGCUAUUAUGAAGAAAGCUGCUAUGAAGAACAUCCAUGUACAAAUCAUUUUAUGGACACACAUACUCAUUGCUCUUGGGUAAAUAUCUAGGAAUAUGAUUUAUGGAUCAUAG
This 4570-nucleotide long non-coding RNA is filed under the name Homo sapiens (human). RNAcentral describes it as "HSALNT0378209". Lineage: Eukaryota; Metazoa; Chordata; Mammalia; Primates; Hominidae. The record is from RNAcentral.